UGUUUACUUGUUUCUUGUGUUUGAGCAGUGUUCAAUUGGCCGGCGGCAAUCGCUUCUCUCACAAUGUGGCUCAAGUAUCCUCUCUUGCCCAAUAUGAAAAAUGCAUCAAACAAGGAACGUCUUUUGGCCCAGGAGUAAGUUGAAUGACUACGAAUCAUUUGCAAAAUGGUUCUCGUUUCUUCAUCUAUACCGUUGACAACCACUGUGAACUGGGACAAAAGCUGAUUAUCACCGUUGGAUCACCAUCAAACACCUCCACUAUUCUUUCUCCACCUCCACCAGACAACUCAGCUGCUUCAUUUCUCACUUUUGAAGUUCUGUUUAUUAUCUGCUCCUCCAUGCUUGUUUCUUUCUUUAAUCACAUUUAAAUCAUAUUAUGUAUCAUGCAUUCUAUUCUCCUUUAUGCAAAACUAGCUUCCAAAAAUGGUGCUGACCAUAUGGAAAAGUCUCAGUCCAUAAUAAAAGCCACUUAAUCCAAAGGGGAAUUUGGCUCAAUGUCCUUCUUUCAUGGCCUCUAAUGAAAUAUACCCCUCAUUUCUUAGUUUUUUUUUUUCUCUACCCUCUGCUUUCCAUUUUAGCCCCAAUGAAAGUAAAAAAUUACUUUACUUUCCUUUCUCCAUUCCUUCAGUCCGAGAAACUCACAGUCUUUAGUUUCUGCACUCGGCUUUCUAUUUUUCUUCAUUCCCCAGAAAACCCACACAAAAUCUCAUUAAGAAAAAAAAAAAUCCAUGCUCCAUCUCCCUGCAUCUCUUACCUCUUCUCUUUCAAAUAUAUGAAAGACUAAGGAAAAAUUGCGUUUGAGGUGAGCGGUAGUUUUACAGAGGAGCUUCACUUGGAAAGUUUGCAGCAUCAAAUAGAAAGUGAUCUUAUGCCAAGUGCCUGAUGUGACCAAAGUGAUUCUUAUGGUAUCCUUUUAGUUAUAUGUUCUAUGGCGAAUUAUAUAAGUUAACUUCUUCUUUUUUUGUUUACAAUUAGUUAAUAUUUAAAAAAGAUGUUAUACCUGCUAUAUGGACCAUGAGGUAUACUAUCUAUGUUGUUUAGUUUGCCUUAAUUUCUUUCUGUUUAAUUUUCAGCCAAGGUUGGAAUUUCUUAGGCUUGGCUGGUGGAACAUUAUUAAUUUUCAAGUUGAUUACAAAUAUGCAGUUGGGGGUAGCAUAGGUGAACUGUCUUAUAUUUACUCCUAUUUUAUGAAUUUGAGGUUGGUUGCGGAGAUGUGGUAUUAGUUUGCUUGUGGUUUUGUAUUAUAGGCUAAUGGCACUCAAGACUUCCAUGAUAAACUGAUAUUUACAGAUUGAGAAACCCAUACUAUUGGUUACAAUUCCAAAAAUGUGCUUGAAAAUGCCUUAGGUCAGGUGCAUAUCGUUAUCCAUGUGCACUUGAUUAUGAGGUUGAUGUAGUGUCCCUCCUUAACAUAUGGAAGUUGUGGGUUUUUUUUUUUUUUUGGUCUAGAAGUAAUAAUCGUUGCCCCCACACCCUUUCUGUGAAUUUCAUGUAACAAUUGGUGUAUUACUAGAGUGGAUAUCAUGAUGGUCUCAUAGCAAGAGAAGAAGCUGUAGCACAAGAGGGAUUUAAUAUUGGCUUUAAGGAAUCAGUCCUUGUUGGGUACAAAUGGGGUCUAGUAGAAGUGAUACCAGGUAAAAGAAAACAAAAGAGGAAAAGAAUUUGAAUGCUCUGUUGCUUAUAGAGUUUUUAAUGAAAUUGCUAUAAGCAUAUGAUUAAAAAAGAAUUUAAAUUCUCUGUUGCUUAUAGAGUUUUUAAUGAAGUUGCUAUAAACAUGUGAUUAACUUCUUUUCUCUGCUACUUUUGUUUUCCUGUUUUGUCCAAUCUGCAUCCCUAUGAAUUGCCUUCACUUUAGUUCCUGAGGACUAGAAAGAGAGCAUUUAAAUUCUCAAUAUGGUAACCAAACUCUCAAAGACAUGAAUUGUAUGGUUGCUUUUCAUAAGGGUUUGACAACAUGGGCUAAGUGGGUGGAUUCUACUAUGAAUCAUAUGGCAAGGGAUUGGAAUGAGAUAGGGGUGACAAACUGUGGAAAUGAGACAAAACUCCUAAGUGGAUCAGUUAUCGAAGUGGAUUGCCCAAGGCAUUAUAUGUGGUGAAAGAUGUAUUAAUUGGAAUGAGAAAACAUGUUCAUCUGUUGGACAUAACAACUUUAUCACAACUCAGAAAAGAUGCACAUCCUGGCUUUUAUAAUGGCUUUAGGCGCAUGGACUGUAACCAUUGGUGUAUUGCUGGACUUCCAGAUACUUGGAAUCAACUUUUUAUGCAUUCCUCAUAAUUGUCAUGCUUGUUCUGGUAUUUUUAGUUUAUAAAAAUGAUCAUACGGUUGCUUAGGUCCUUCCUUCUAUAGAUCACCAUUUUUAAGGGAAUCAAGUUUCAAAACACGAACGAUCUUUUCAUUUUCAAUGUCAACCAGAUAUUGAGAGUUAAACAUCAUUAAUGAAACUCUACAAUCUUGCAUA
This is a long non-coding RNA of Ziziphus jujuba (common jujube), 2459 nucleotides long. RefSeq lists it as uncharacterized. The transcript has 3 exons. The record is from RefSeq and is a predicted model, not a curated record. NCBI's taxonomy places the organism in Eukaryota, Viridiplantae, Streptophyta, Magnoliopsida, Rosales, Rhamnaceae.